GGUACCGUCAAUUGCCAUGGCGUAUUAGGCCAGGCUGUUUCUUCCCUAAUAAAAGUGCUUUACAACCCGCAGGCCUUCUUCACACACGCGGCAUUGCUGGAUCAGGCUUUCGCCCAUUGUCCAAUAUUCCCCA
This 133-nucleotide ribosomal RNA is filed under the name uncultured bacterium. Its description in RNAcentral is "partial 16S ribosomal RNA". The record is from RNAcentral.